CCUCAUCCUCUCCCGCCCCACCUCGGCCACCGGAUCCCUGUACGUACAACACCUAGCUCCAGGCAGCUGCCGCAUGGUGGGGAAUGGUGGAGGCUGAAGGCACAGGCCAUGACGCUGGUGCAGGUUGAGCCUCCACUUCCACACAGAUUCAUCUCCCUCCAUGGAUGACCAGGUGGGGUUCUUUCCACCUCUUUUCCCCCAUUCCUAAUCUUUCUACUUGCUCCAUAUUUUUUCUUCCUUUUCUCUGCCUCUGAGUUUGGUUUCUUAAUUUUUAUUCAGAUUUUCAGGAAUUGCUGGUGCAACCAAUGGACAUGAAACACCCAAGAAGGUGACACUAGAUCAGGAACUAACUUUUUUUGUACUCUGUUUGUACUCCAUUUGAUUCUGAUAUUUUCUCUUCUUUUCUGAAUAUAUGAUGCCUGGGAAAAAUGCAUUGUAUGAUAUUAUAUUGGAGAAAAGAAGCGCCCUAUGGGUUCUCCUAACAGUGCAAGGUUAGAUUCUACUUUUUAUGUUGUUGAUUAUGGUAGAUUGGGAAUGCAUAAGUACGAGCUGAAUAACUUACUGCUCUUGUUUUCUUUCGCUUUUCUCAUAGAAGAACCAGUGCUAGCAAAAUAACAGUUAAUUUAC
RNAcentral lists this long non-coding RNA (627 nucleotides) under Triticum aestivum (bread wheat). RNAcentral describes it as "long non-coding RNA (TAES_LNC016733)". The record is from RNAcentral. Lineage: Eukaryota; Viridiplantae; Streptophyta; Magnoliopsida; Poales; Poaceae.